AUGUGAGAAACGCUGCUUUAAAGAGUACGUUCUACCUGGAUUUUUCAACCUAAAAGGCACAAGCAGUAGAGAGGAAAUUCUGGUCACAGGUACACCUUCAUCCACAGCACCUAGACUCAUCCUGUCCAUUUAUAAUCCCAUCAGGAGUGUGAGAGUGCUCGUUCAGUUUUGCCAGGAGUAGGAAUGAUCCUUUUGAAAAAUUUUCCCUGAAUGAUUAUAAGUGUUGUGGAAGCUCUGAAAAUCAGCUGUCUGGGAACACCACCACCACCACUGUGACCAACAAAAAUCAAACCAGAAGUUUAGCCCCCAACAAUAUAGGAAGCAGAUUCAUGGAGCAGAUGCACUUGUUAUGAAAACAGUAAAUCAUGCGUACUGAUAAAUGAAUGAGACUUGAUAAGGACAUCGUAUCCUACUGUGUGAGAAGGUGGUGCUGUAAUGUGAAAAAUACAAUCUCAUGAAGUACGUUGUGUCCUCAAAAGGACAAGGGGAUCAAUAAAAAACACAGUUCGCAUACUCCCAGCAAAAAACCGGGUGUUAGCACUUCUGAAGGAUUUGGUUGUUUCAUGAGAUGAAAAAUGUCUACUUCGAGGCCUUAAAAUAUUGAUGCCCUAAAGAGUUCUUCCCUACUGCCACACAGCAUCCGUCUUAGAACAGAUCAUGGUGAGAGGCUCAAGAGGCCAAGGGAAUAAGUUAAGGGGAUGCUGCUUUCCACUGUGCAGGAAAUAAUUCUUCUUAAGAGGCCAUAUAUCAGUCCAGAAAAAGCUGACAAGCUUUUUAAAAAAUACAACAGAAACAAACUAAAAGCGAUUCAUUCCUGUCAUCUUCUUUACAUCUUGAACUCAAAUUAAAAAAAAAAAUUGCCAAUAAAAAUAUACAAGUCUGUGUGUCUUAUAGUAACUAGGUAUCCAUAUCUGCAUGUGUAUAAAUUCCAGUGCAAUCCCCAGAGAUCUCCUAUGACAUAAGUAAUGGUAACAUGUUUGCCUCUGGAGAGUGAAACCUGGUGCUGGGGUACCAGGGUAAGAGAUGUAGUUAUAUUUUUUUCCAUUAUGUACUGUUUGAGCUUUAAAAAAAUCAUGCAUGUUUUAAUUGUUUUUUAAAAAUUCAUGAUAACUAUGUAAAUAAAUAGAUAUAUAAAAUGUAUUGGGACACUUGGUGACAUCUGUACACAUUUUUUUGUAGUCACAAUUGGGGGAGGGCUCGUCACUGGUAGUUAGCAGAUGGAGACCAAGUCUGCUGUUAAACAGCCUACAAUGCAGAGGACAGCCCCCUACAACCAAGAAUAUCCAGCUCAAAAGGUCAACAGUGCUCCUGUUGAGGAAACUCUAAAUGAUGGACCCUUACAUACAGAACAUAAACACUCAGAGUAUGAAUUACAUAAACAACUACUACAGUGGACUCUUGGCUCCUUAUCACUCCAGACAGAGUAUAUCAUCCAAAGAGACAGGACAUGGAGUUGAUCUACAGACCCAACACCUCCCACUCUCAAGCAGUUUCCUGCCUGCUUGGGGAGAAGCAGUUUUCAUCAGUGGCUCUUGGCAGGGGAAGCAGUAACAGCAAGAUCUGGACCCUUCCUGUUGCGUCAAGCACCUUGGAGAGAUGACCAUAAGGUCCUCUCUUCAUGGGCCUGUGUGGGUGGGAGAGGGCAAUCAGGAGCUGCAUUGUUCCAAUUAUUCUUGUUUAAACAAGUCUGGUUAAAAGCCAUUCACACACUACAUCUCAAAUACAGAACUAGCAGCUGUAUUCAAACUUUGUAUUAUAAUCCGGUCGCACCAUCCAAUUGUUUAUUUGAGACGACAGGCUUCAAUUAAUUUAGGGGACAGUAUGGUGAUCAAAGGAGAAAAGUUUCUUACAAAUCAGUAUUUGCUUAGAGGGUCUUGUGUCCUUCCAAAGAUUCCUUGUCAAGGCAACACACAAAACUUCAACUAAUGAAGUACUUCCUGGCUUUUGCACUGAUGACAACAUAAAGGAAGAAUGACUCUUGCCUCCUUGAACCAUAUCAUCUAUUUAGCUUAAUUUCAACUUGUCCUGAUAUUAUGCUUUCCUUUUUUUAGUCAGUGAUAUUUUUAUCCGUGUUUAAUUUUGCAUUAUACUGUAUUAUAACAAAAUCAUAAAAUGUUUGAGCUAAAAGGGAUUUUAAAAAUCACCUAACAAAAUCCUCACAUUUUAUAGAUAAUAAAAAUAGCUACUCAGAUACACAUUUCUCUGUAGUUGGUAUUGUUCUAAGUGAUUUCCUUCUAUUAAUUCCUUUAAUCCUCAAAACCAUCUGAUGAUGUAGAUAUCACUACAGUCACUCCCAUUUUACUGAUGAGGAAAUGGAGACACAGAGAGAUUAAGUAUGCCACAUGUUCUGGCAGAAAGAAUUCUAAGAUGACCUUCAAUUAAUCAUGCCCUUGUAUAAACCUCUCUGACUGAAUGCACGCAGAAACUGUGACUUGCUUCUAGUCCACGGUAUGUGACAAUGGAGAUGGGAGGAGAGUCAUUCUCAUGGUUAUGCUAUGUUAUGUUAUGUUAUGUUAUGUUAUGUUAUGUUAUGUUAUGUUAUGUUAUGUAAGACUAUCCUGGUAGACUGGAGAGAGAGUAGACUGGAGACAGAUUCUCCCACUGGCCUUGAAGAAGCAAGCUGCCAUGUUGUGAGAGGAACUACAAGGAAACCACAAGGCAAGGAACUAUGGGGGGCUCUACUACCAGAGAGCAGCCCCUGGCUCACAGCAAGAAAGUGAGGACAUCUUUCCUACCAUCAUAAGGAACUGAGUUCUGCCAACUAUCACAUGGAAUUGAAAGAAGAUCCCAAGCUCCAGAAAGGAAUACAGUCUGAGCCAACACCCAGACUCCAGCCUUGUGAGACCAUGAUCAGAGCUAAGCGUGCCUGGAUUCCUGCCCCACACAAACUGUGAGGUAACAGAUAUAUGUAGUUUGAAGGCACUAAGUUUGUGGGAAUUUGUUAUGCAGCCAUGGAAAAAUGAUAGACAUGUCCAGGGUCACAAAGCAAAUAAAAGCAAGAGCAGAAUUCAAA
Leopardus geoffroyi (Geoffroy's cat) is the source of this 3013-nucleotide long non-coding RNA. RefSeq lists it as uncharacterized. Lineage: Eukaryota; Metazoa; Chordata; Mammalia; Carnivora; Felidae. The transcript is spliced from 2 exons. The record is from RefSeq and is a predicted model, not a curated record.